GGAGAGGUGCCUGAGUCCGGUUUAAAGGAACAGUCUUGAAAACUGUCGUGGUCCCCGAUCACCGCGGGUUCGAAUCCCGCUCUCUCCU
RNAcentral lists this transfer RNA (88 nucleotides) under Abditibacteriota bacterium. RNAcentral's name for it is "tRNA-Ser". It matches the Rfam family "tRNA". From Rfam's summary of the family: Transfer RNA (tRNA) molecules are approximately 80 nucleotides in length. Their secondary structure includes four short double-helical elements and three loops (D, anti-codon, and T loops). Further hydrogen bonds mediate the characteristic L-shaped molecular structure. tRNAs have two regions of fundamental functional importance: the anti-codon, which is responsible for specific mRNA codon recognition, and the 3' end, to which the tRNAs corresponding amino acid is attached (by aminoacyl-tRNA synthetases). tRNAs cope with the degeneracy of the genetic code in two manners: having more than one tRNA (with a specific anti-codon) for a particular amino acid; and 'wobble' base-pairing, i.e. permitting non-standard base-pairing at the 3rd anti-codon position. Lineage: Bacteria; Pseudomonadati; Abditibacteriota. The record is from RNAcentral.